AUUGAACGCUGGCGGCAGGCCUAACACAUGCAAGUCGAGCGGAUGAAGGGAGCUUGCUCCUGGAUUCAGCGGCGGACGGGUGAGUAAUGCCUAGGAAUCUGCCUGGUAGUGGGGGAUAACGUCCGGAAACGGGCGCUAAUACCGCAUACGUCCUGAGGUAGAAAGUGGGGGAUCUUCGGACCUCACGCUAUCAGAUGAGCCUAGGUCGGAUUAGCUAGUUGGUGGGGUAAAGCCCUACCAAGGCGACGUUCCGUAACUGGUCUGAGAGGAUGAUCAGUCACACUGGACCUGAGACACGGUCAAGACUCCUAAGGGAGGCAGCAGUGGGGAAUAUCCGACAAUGGCCGAAAGCCUGAUCCAGCAAGGCCGCGUGUGUGAAGAAGGUCUUCGGAUGGUAAAGCCCUUUAAGUUGGGAGGAAGGGCAGUAAGUUAAUACCUUGCUGUUUUGACGUUACCAAUAGAAUAAGCACCGGCUAAUUUCGU
This 483-nucleotide ribosomal RNA is filed under the name uncultured bacterium. Its description in RNAcentral is "partial 16S ribosomal RNA". It matches the Rfam family "Bacterial small subunit ribosomal RNA", at positions 30 to 506 of the family's 1533-position model. The record is from RNAcentral.